Non-coding RNA from Myodes glareolus (Bank vole), 127 nucleotides. Lineage: Eukaryota; Metazoa; Chordata; Mammalia; Rodentia; Cricetidae. The record is from RefSeq and is a predicted model, not a curated record.
UGUGUGUGAAUAUGUGUGUGUAACUGGUAGACAAAGACAUAAAAGGCAAGUGCAAACAUAAAUUCUCUUUUUGCAACCCAAAACUCAGUGUUUGGUAUGCCUUUUGCUACAUAUACUAAUGAAUAUG